CCUACGGGAGGCUGCAGUGGGGAAUAUUGCGCAAUGGGCGAAAGCCUGACGCAGCGACGCCGCGUGAGGGAUGAAGGUCUUCGGAUCGUAACCCUCUGUCAGCAGGGAAGAACGGUCACUGUGUUAAUCAGCAGUGAAUUGCCGGUACCUGCAAAGGAAGCACCGGCUAACUCCGUGCCAGCAGCCGCGGUAAUACGGAGGGUGAGGGCGUUAAUCAGAAUGACUGGGCGUAAAGCGCUCGUAGGAGGGAUGUCACGUCCAGGGUGAAAACCCCGGGCUCAACGUGGGAACUGCCUUUGAAACUGGCAAACUGGAGUGUGUGAGAGGAUAGUGGAAUUCGAGGUGUAGGAGUGAAAUCCGUAGAUAUCUGGAGGAACAUCAGUGGCGAAGGCGACUAUCUGGCACAUAACUGACGCUGAGGAGCGAAAGCGUGGGUAGCAAACAGGAUUAGAUACCCGAGUAGUC
This 465-nucleotide ribosomal RNA is filed under the name uncultured bacterium. Its description in RNAcentral is "partial 16S ribosomal RNA". It matches the Rfam family "Bacterial small subunit ribosomal RNA", at positions 338 to 795 of the family's 1533-position model. The record is from RNAcentral.